ACGGGUGCGUAACGCGUGGGAAUCUGCCCUUGGGUCUGGAAUAACAGUUAGAAAUGACUGCUAAUACCGGAUGAUGACUUCGGUCCAAAGAUUUAUCGCCCAGGGAUGAGCCCGCGUCGGAUUAGCUAGUUGGUGGGGUAAAAGCUCACCAAGGCGACGAUCCGUAGCUGGUCUGAGAGGAUGAUCAGCCACACUGGGACUGAGACACGGCCCAGACUCCUACGGGAGGCAGCAGUGGGGAAUAUUGGACAAUGGGCGAAAGCCUGAUCCAGCAAUGCCGCGUGAGUGAUGAAGGCCUUAGGGUUGUAAAGCUCUUUUACCCGGGAUGAUAAUGACAGUACCGGGAGAAUAAGCCCCGGCUAACUCCGUGCCAGCAGCCGCGGUAAUACGGAGGGGGCUAGCGUUGUUCGGAAUUACUGGGCGUAAAGCGCACGUAGGCGGCUUUGUAAGUUAGAGGUGAAAGCCCGGGGCUCAACUCCGGAAUUGCCUUUAAGACUGCAUCGCUAGAAUUGUGGAGAGGUAAGUGGAAUUCCGAGUGUAGAGGUGAAAUUCGUAGA
RNAcentral lists this ribosomal RNA (557 nucleotides) under uncultured bacterium. Its description in RNAcentral is "bacterial SSU rRNA". It matches the Rfam family "Bacterial small subunit ribosomal RNA", at positions 102 to 694 of the family's 1533-position model. The record is from RNAcentral.